RNAcentral lists this ribosomal RNA (484 nucleotides) under uncultured bacterium. RNAcentral's name for it is "partial 16S ribosomal RNA". It matches the Rfam family "Bacterial small subunit ribosomal RNA", at positions 29 to 507 of the family's 1533-position model. The record is from RNAcentral.
AUUGAACGCUGGCGGCAGGCCUAACACAUGCAAGUCGAGCGGAAGAAGGGAGCUUGCUCGUGGAUUCAGCGGCGGACGGGUGAGUAAGGCCUAGGAACCUGCCCAGCAGGGGGGGAUAACGUCCGGAAACGGGCGCUAAUAGCGCAUACGCCCUGAGGGAGAAAGGGGGGGAUCUUCGGACCUCACGCAAUCAUAAGAGCCUAGGGCGGGUUAGCCGGUUGGUGGGGUAAAGGCCGGCCAAGGCGACGAUCCGUAACUGGUCUGAGAGGAUGGUCAGUCACACUGGAACUGAGACACGGUCCAGACUCCUACGCGAGGCAGCAGUGGGGAAUAUUGGACAAUGGGCGAAAGCCUGAUCCAGCCCUGCCGCGUGUGUGACGAAGGUCUUCGGAUUGUAAAGCUCUUUUAGUUGGGAGGAAGGGCAGUAAGUUAAUCCCUUGCUGUUUUGACGUUACCAACAGAAUAAGCACCGGCUAACUCCGUG